This 490-nucleotide ribosomal RNA is filed under the name uncultured bacterium. Its description in RNAcentral is "partial 16S ribosomal RNA". It matches the Rfam family "Bacterial small subunit ribosomal RNA", at positions 899 to 1397 of the family's 1533-position model. The record is from RNAcentral.
ACUCAAAUGAAUAGACGGGGACCCGCACAACCGGUGGAGCGUGUGGUUCAAUUUGAGACGAAGCAAAAAACCUCACCAGGGCUUGACAUGCUAGCGUUCUAUGCUUAUGAAAGUAGGCAAAUCCGCAAGGAGGCUAGUGCAGGUGGUGCAUGGCUGUCGUCAGCUCGUGCCGUGAGGUGUUCCAUUAAGUUGGGAAACGAGCGCAACCCGCAUCCAAUGUUAAAUUAUUCAUUGGGAACAGUCCCAGUUUUACUGGGAAGGAAGGCGCGGAAGACGUCAAGUCAGCAUGCUCCUUAUGCCCUGGGCUACACACACCCUACAAUGGCGAAUAACAAAGAGUUGCAAGUCGGUAACGGCAAGCUAAUCUCAGAAAUUUCGCCUCAGUUCAGAUUGAGGGCUGCAACUCGCCCUCAUGAAGUCGGAAUCGGUAGUAAUCGCAAAUCAGCAGGUUGCGGUGAAUACGUUCUCGGGUCUUGUACACACCGCCCGU